AUUGAACGCUGGCGGAAUGCUUUACACAUGCAAGUCGAACGGCAGCAUAGGUGCUUGCACCUGAUGGCGAGUGGCGAACGGGUGAGUAAUACAUCGGAACGUGCCCAGUCGUGGGGGAUAACGUAGCGAAAGUUACGCUAAUACCGCAUACGAUCUAAGGAUGAAAGCGGGGGACCGUAAGGCCUCGCGACGUUGGAGCGGCCGAUGUCAGAUUAGGUAGUUGGUGAGGUAAAGGCUCACCAAGCCGACGAUCUGUAGCUGGUCCUGAGAGGGCGACCAGCCACACUGGGACUGAGACACGGCCCAGACUCCUACGGGAGGCAGCAGUGGGGAAUUUUGGACAAUGGACGCAAGUCUGAUCCAGCCAUUCCGCGUGCAGGACGAAGGCCUUCGGGUUGUAAACUGCUUUUGUACGGAACGAAAAAGCUCUUACUAAUACUAGGAGUCCAUGACGGUACCGUAAGAAUAAGCACCGGCUAACUACGUGCCAGCCGCCGCGGUAA
Molecule: ribosomal RNA, 503 nt
Filed under: uncultured bacterium
Lineage: Bacteria
Description: partial 16S ribosomal RNA
Rfam family: Bacterial small subunit ribosomal RNA
Source: RNAcentral